Molecule: long non-coding RNA, 4206 nt
Organism: Mustela erminea (ermine)
Lineage: Eukaryota; Metazoa; Chordata; Mammalia; Carnivora; Mustelidae
Exons: 4
Source: RefSeq, a predicted model, not a curated record
AGAUGGGGACACAGAAGCCGUGAGAGAAUAAACCACCUUCCAAAUGUCACAUAACAGGUUUGGGCCCUCAUGGGUGACAGAAAAGUCUCACAGUACUGGUUCCUGUUUGAACACACAUGUUCACUGGGUCUCGCCUUGCAGCAGGAGGACAGAGAAGGCUGGAAUCACCGCAUUCCCACAGCAAGGGCAAUCUUUAAAGGCAGUAAGGUGUGACGCUCCAGACUGGCAGCUUGGCAAGACGGAGCCCAUGGAUACCAGCACACGGGAAUCUGGACCGUUCACUCUGACAGCAGUCAGCACUGGGAACAAAAGGAAUGGAGGAAAAAAAGCGCAAAUGUAUUUUUACAUAUUGUAGGCAUAUGGCCACAAGACCAGCAGAAAUAUAUUUAAUUACCAAUUGCACGCAUUGAGGAGAAAAACACUAGGAAGGAAAAAAAAAAAAACUGUGUACACAGCAAUAUUAUUCUACUUUAACUUUUCACCUCCUUUUUUUUUUUUUUUAAUUGAAGAUAAAAGGGAUGUGGAUCAGAAUGGAAAAGGGUUAUCUGUUGGGAUCCUAAGAAAGGUGAUGAGGGUUUUUCAUGCGUCUUCCUCAGUAGUGUAACAUUGUGGUGGGAAAUCUAAGUUUUCUUGUAAUGACUUUAGUUAUAAAAUAAUUUUACUAAGGCAUUUUUUGAGGGAAGGCCCGGGGGGAGACCUAAUUUUAACUGUAACAAUUAGACAAUUUUUACCAUUCUGUUGAAACUAUACUUCCAAUGUUACGCAUUAGUUUAGGCCUUAACCAUGAACAAACAACCCUUGCAAAAUUAUAGUCCCGUUCCUUCCUAUGAAAUCAGAGCAGUUCAACCCACACGUAUUGCCUGCUUCCUAUCUGUCAGGCACUGUGCUAGCCAAUGGAGGGAAAGGGAUGAAUCAGAUAUAGUCCCUGUACUCCAGAAGCUCACAAUCUAAGAUAGGAGACAAAUACAUAGGUGCAUAAUUAUAAUAGUAAAUUAUUGAAAUUAUAACUAUAAUUAUAAUACACGUAAUAAAACAGCUGCAAUAUGAUGAGGUAGGUAUACCGAUCCAGGGGCCACAGAGACCUAUUCUCAGGUCAGCCUGGGAGUCAGUCACCUAGAAAGUCCAGGGAGGUGACUUCCUCUUGGAGGAGUUAAUGAAAAAGAGCUUUUGGCCUGGGUAAAGUGUAGGUAGGUGGUCCCAUGGUAUCCCCUAUACUGUCGAUCCUGUUCCAUCAGUCACAAACCUGGUGAAAAACUGUAUCUGAGUCAGUGUGUUAGAACAUCCCGCUCCUCUGAUUCCCACCAUCUGGGGCUGGAGCUCAGAGCUAUGUCCCCUGAGAGUCUGUGCCCAGUGGGUCACAAGUAUGCUCUGAGAAAUGCUGGAGAGUGACAACCAUAGUAGGUAGUAGCGGUAGCAGCCCCAGGAUUGGGGUCGUGCUGGGGGACUUGGCUGAAUGACCUAUUGGUGGCCAUGGACUCUAGUCAGGAAGAGAGAGCUCAAGGAUCAGAGCAGGUAAAUAUGUCCCAACAAACUAGUGGCCAGGCAUCGAGUCUCCCAGCCAUGACUGAUGAUACCUGGCAGGUGUGCCCCUCAGGCUGACAUUUUCUCCCUGGUCUCUGAGGCGUUCGUUGGAAGGACAGGUCUAGAAAGGGCUCCAACCCUGAGGAGCGUAUAGUUGCAAUAAUUGUCAGAAGCUAGAAUUGUCAGAAGCUCCACUUUCACUGGAGCAAGUUUGGUUUAUUUUGGGAAUUGGCCUUGGAGAGGUUAACACUUAAGGAAAAGGCCAAGGUCACUACAUGGCUCAAAGGGAUCCAUUUUCUUGUACAGGAGUUGUACUGACUUAGUUAUUUGUGAGCUCAAGUGGCACUAAGUGGCAGAGUCUAGAGUUUUUCAAAAGCCAAAAUCAAUGUUUUUAAUCACUCUGCCCCACCGUCUAUAUUGAAAUUAUUAUUUAAGAGGCCAAAUACUGGACACAAACCCAUAGGGUACCAGACUGUGGAUUUGGCUGCUUUAUUCACCAUGUGGGGUUUGGGGCUUCAAUUUCUUAUCCAGUAGGAAAACAACAACAAAAACUAGUCCAAACAAUUAGGGAGUAGAGGGAGCUAGUUAGAACUACCUGCACAAUACAGAUUUUUGACUGUACCCAGAAUAACAUAUUCCAAAUAACCUUCCCAUUGCCUAAGUAAGUCCACACUACUGUUUCUUAAUUUGGUUGAAAUAGGCAGGUUUCAUUGAUUCCAUGAACCUUAAAGUGAAGUUACCAGGUUGUGUAGACAAUACAUGGUAACUUUUAAAAUUUGCAGAGUAAAGUAAGAAUGACACUACCACAAGUCUAGAGCAAUGCCUUGGUAAAUUAGACACCUACUUUAAAGUUCAUAAAAUUCAUGGCACCAGAUAUGUUUAUAUUCCAUCUCCCAGAAACAUAUGGAAUGUUCUUUAAGGAAACAUAAUUCUUUAAAAUUAAGAUAUAAAGGGAUUUUUUUAAACAAAAGAAGUUAAAUUUGAAUAGAAAUACAUAUAAAAUUGGUUUCUGGGCUUGCUAGAAACCAGUGCAAAAAGAGAAAUAUGGAAAAUGGCAUGCAUAAUUUUUCAUUGUCAAAAAGGAGGAAACAUAUUAGUUCCUCAGGAAGAAAAAGCAUCCACUAAGACACAAGCAUUAAAAGUAAUCUAACAUAGACUAACCUUUGAAAGAAAGAAGGAACAGUUUAAAGUCUUUGUAGGUGGAUUGUCGUACAAUUCAAGAACUGUAAUGAAAUACACUCUUUAAAACUAGCAUAAAGAAAGUAUUCUUAAAGGCAUUAAGUCAGAGGGUCACUAGGCCCUGAUGCACAGAUCUCAGUCCCCAAGGCAGCACUAUUUUGGUUAUGUAUUCCUAAGGCAAACAUUUGUUGAUUACCUGAUCUGUGCCAUUCACAUUUCUAGGACUAGAAACGAGUAAUAAAAAAGAAAAAAAAAAUCCCUGUUCACAGUCCAAAUUAAAAUGAUUCCAACACAUUAAUAUAAAAUUUUAUAGUUUCAAUUGUUACAAUGAUGUAUGAUGAAUGAAUUAUGGGUUAAUCAACUUACAUGAUGCUUUAUGGUUUACAAAAUGUUUUCAUACAUCAUUACAACACAAGUAUCCUUAUGCAAGCAUUGGGACAUGCCAGGUAUUGGACUGAUGUUCCUGGCCAUAGAGCCUUGAUAUGUCAUGAAAGUGAUGUUCAUGAUUAUGUUUUAUUUCCAUUAGAAAGAAUAUGCUUGAGAGCCCGUUGCAGAACUUAGCAAGAAAAUCAGCUAGUUAAUGUCACAAGAGACCUUAACAUACCUUGAUGUGUUUAAGAGUUGAACACUACACUUAGUGACACUUAGUUUAAUGAACAUCUUUGCUUUUUCACAUCCCAUGAAGUAUUGUAGGACUUUUGGCAAAAUGUGAGAUCCCUGUGCUAGGCACAGCAAGAAGCUAUGAAUAACUUUUAGAUGAUAACCACUCAUCCAUAUCUCAAGGCAACGAUUGCAAGUCUUUUGGUCCACUCAGGCUCUCGAGCCCUUUAUUCUCCUUCCUCAGCAUCCCUAUUGUGCACAAUGGGUGAAGAAUUCUGCUUCUUUUCCAGCUAAUUAACCCACAUGCUAAUGAUACUGUUCCGUCCUUGGUUGAUUCAGAGCAACCUCCAGCUGUCUGCCUCCUGUCUGUUCAGAAGCUUUUGGUGAUGAAGGUAGAGCCCAUAAGAAGGAAACUGCUGCAUGAACUCACCAGCACAGGCAGGCAAUCUGCAGAUUAACACAUUCCAUAGCAUUGAUCCCCUGUGAGGACCCAGGCUCAGAGAUGGAUGCUUGCUUGGUAAGGGGAGAAAGAAAUGUGCUGGAUAUGGGGAAAUUCAGAAUGUGGGUGCACAUGUAAAAGGCAUGGGACUUUGAUGCCUCUGAGUAAUACUUGAUACAUAUUCUACUCAUUAAUAAUUAUCAUAUGACCAAACUAUAGAUAUGUGGGAUUAGUUGGAAUCCUACAAGGUAGGCUUCAGUAAUGUCACUCAGACAGUCAUUGAUUUUUAGGGACAAGACUUUUGAACACCCCUUAGGGUCUCAUCGUAUAGCUUAUCAGGUCUCAUUAUUAUGAAGAAUUUGUUUCUUUUUCACUUACAUCUUCCCCUUAGCCAUUAAAAACUAUUUUUGUAUUUCUGUCUUUGAGCUGGACAAAGUUUGUCUCUGGUGUCCCUUAAAAACACCUAA